This 371-nucleotide ribosomal RNA is filed under the name uncultured bacterium. RNAcentral's name for it is "bacterial SSU rRNA". It matches the Rfam family "Bacterial small subunit ribosomal RNA", at positions 527 to 896 of the family's 1533-position model. The record is from RNAcentral.
GUAGGUGACAAGCGUUGUCCGGAUUUACUGGGCGUAAAGAGCGCGCAGGCGGUCGUUCAAGUCAAGUGUGAAAGCCCCCGGCUCAACUGGGGAGGGUCACUCGAUACUGAUCGACUCGAAGGCAGGAGAGGGAAGUGGAAUUCCCGGUGUAGUGGUGAAAUGCGUAGAUAUCGGGAGGAACACCAGUGGCGAAGGCGACUUCCUGGCCUGUUCUUGACGCUGAGGCGCGAAAGCUAGGGGAGCAAACGGGAUUAGAUACCCCGGUAGUCCUAGCCGUAAACGAUGGACACUAGGUGUUGGUGGUAUCAACCCCGCCAGUGCCGAAGCUAACGCAUUAAGUGUCCCGCCUGGGGAGUACGGCCGCAAGGCUA